This 901-nucleotide ribosomal RNA is filed under the name uncultured archaeon. RNAcentral describes it as "bacterial SSU rRNA". It matches the Rfam family "Archaeal small subunit ribosomal RNA", at positions 1 to 878 of the family's 1478-position model. The record is from RNAcentral.
UUCCGGUUGAUCCUGCCGGACCCUACUGCUAUCGGGGUGGGACUAAGACAUGCAAGUCGUGCGUCUCUAAGCCAUGGUAGAGACGCGGCGUACGGCUCAGUAACACGUGGUUAACCUACCCUUAGGACGGGGACAACCCCGGGAAACUGGGGCUAAUUUCUGAUAGGUGAGGAGGCCUGGAAUGGUUCUUCGCCGAAAAGGCGUUGAAACCACGCUUUUCAACGUCGCCUAAGGAUGGGGCCGCGCCCGAUCAGGUUGUUGGUGAGGUAACGGCUCACCAAGCCUAUAACCGGUACGGGCCGUGAGAGCGGGAGCCCGGAGAUGGGCACUGAGACAAGGGCCCAGGCCCUACGGGGCGCAGCAGUCGCGAAAACUCCGCAAUGCGCGAAAGCGUGACGGGGCUACCCCGAGUGCCGUCCGCUGAGGACGGCUUUUCCCCGGUGUAAUGAGCCGGGGGAAUAAGGAGAGGGCAAGACUGGUGUCAGCCACCGCGGUAAUACCAGCUCUCCGAGUGGUAGGGACGAUUAUUGGGCUUAAAGCGUCCGUAGCCGGCUUAGCAAGUCUCCUGUUAAAUUCAGCGACUCAAUCGUUGAGCCGCCGGAGAUACUACUAGGCUAGGAGGCGGGAGAGGUCGACGGUAUUCCCGGGGGAGGGGUGAAAUCCUAUAAUCCCGGGAGGACCACCAGUGGCGAAGGCUGUCGGCUAGAACGCGCUCGACGGUGAGGGACGAAAGCUGGGGGAGCGAACCGGAUUAGAUACCCGGGUAGUCCCAGCUGUAAACGAUGCGGGCUAGGUGUUGAGGUGGCUACGAGCCACUUCAGUGCCGCAGGGAAGCCAUUAAGCCCGCCGCCUGGGGAGUACGGCCGCAAGGCUGAAACUUAAAGGAAUUGGCGGGGGAGCA